Molecule: ribosomal RNA, 766 nt
Filed under: uncultured bacterium
Lineage: Bacteria
Description: bacterial SSU rRNA
Rfam family: Bacterial small subunit ribosomal RNA
Source: RNAcentral
AGAGUUUGAUCAUGGCUCAGGACUAACGCUGACGGUGUGCCUAAUACAUGCAAGUCGAACGAGCAAUAAGAGAGUGGCCACACUUUCUUAAAGCUCGUGGCGAACGGGUGACUAACGCGUGGGUAAUCUGCCUCAUAGAUUGGGAUAACUCCUUGAAAGAGGAGCUAAUACCGGAUGUGCUAUUUUUAUCUCAUGAUAUUUUUAGCAAAGGUUGCCGCAAGGCUUCUGCUUUGAGAUGAGCCCGCGUCCUAUUAACUUGUUGGUAGGGUAAUGGCCUACCAAGGCUAUGAUGGGUAGCCGGUCUGAGAGGAUGUUCGGCCACACUGGGACUGACAUACGGCCCAGACUCCUACGGGAGGCAGCAGUAGGGAAUAUUGCUCAAUGGGCGAAAGCCUGACGCAGCGACACCGUGUGAAGGAUGAAGGUCUUCGGAUUGUAAACUUCUGUCAAUUGGGGACGAAGGUACUAAGGUUAAUAGCCUGCAGUACUGACGGUAUCCGAUAAGGAAGUCUCGGCUUACUCCGUGCCAGCAGCCGCGGUAAGACGGGGGAGGCAAGCGUUGUCCGGAAUUAUUGGGCGUAAAGAGCGCGUAGGUGGUUUAUCAAGUCAUUUGUGAAAACUUUACGCUUAACUUAAAGAUUGCAAGUGAUACUGGUAAACUUGAGCACAGUAUAGGAAAGUGGAAUUCCUGGUGUAGCGGUGAAAUGCGCAGAUAUCAGGAAGAACACCAGUGGCGAAAGCGGCUUUCUGGGCUGUUGCUGACACU